UUUCGAAUCAUUCACAAUGGGCGAAAGCCUGAUGGUGCGACGCCGCGUGAGGGAUGAAGGUCUUCGGAUUGUAAACCUCUGUCACCGGGGAAGAAACGCUUCAAUUUAACAGAUUGAAGCCUGACUUAACCCGGAGAGGAAGCAGUGGCUAACUCUGUGCCAGCAGCCGCGGUAAUACAGAGACUGCAAGCGUUAUUCGGAUUCACUGGGCGUAAAGGGUGCGCAGGCGGCCAGAUGUGUCAGGUGUGAAAGCCCGGGGCUUAACCCCGGAAUUGCGCCUGAAACUGUCUGGCUAGAGUACUGGAGAGGGUAGCGGAAUUCACGGUGUAGCAGUGAAAUGCGUAGAUAUCGUGAGGAACACCAGAGGCGAAGGCGGCUACCUGGACAGUAACUGACGCUCAGGCACGAAAGCGUGGGGAGCAAAAGGG
Molecule: ribosomal RNA, 428 nt
Filed under: uncultured bacterium
Lineage: Bacteria
Description: bacterial SSU rRNA
Rfam family: Bacterial small subunit ribosomal RNA
Source: RNAcentral